GUUGUUUUCUCGAAAAUCAAUUAAAAAUGGUGGGAUUUUGUGUUGUAUUGACUUUAUCAGCUUUCUGCACUUUUUUCCUAUCUUUUUUAAUGCACUUUUCGUUUAACAAGUCAACAUCAAUUUCUUUUGCUGUAAAAGAGUCAUUGGAAGGUGGCUUUCUUUUCGGAGAAAGUGUUUAUAGCCUUUGACUUCUGCAGUCGGAGAGAUUGAGGUCUGCAGCGUAGAUCCUUCGGGGUUAGAUACAUUUGUGCUAAGCUAUAGCCUUUCAUAGACAACUUGUUGACUAUGAUCAGUCAUGUAGCUUACUCGCUUAUGCUAUUUUACCUAC
This 328-nucleotide ribosomal RNA is filed under the name uncultured Neocallimastigales. Its description in RNAcentral is "partial large subunit ribosomal RNA". Lineage: Eukaryota; Fungi; Neocallimastigomycota; Neocallimastigomycetes; Neocallimastigales. The record is from RNAcentral.